Molecule: ribosomal RNA, 482 nt
Filed under: uncultured bacterium
Lineage: Bacteria
Description: partial 16S ribosomal RNA
Rfam family: Bacterial small subunit ribosomal RNA
Source: RNAcentral
AUUGAACGCUGGCGGCAUGCUUUACACAUGCAAGUCGAACGGUAACGGGCCGCAAGGUGCUGACGAGUGGCGAACGGGUGAGUAAUGCAUCGGAACGUGCCCAGUCGCGGGGGAUAACUACUCGAAAGAGUAGCUAAUACCGCAUACGAUCUAUGGAUGAAAGCGGGGGACCGUAAGGCCUCGCGCGAUUGGAGCGGCCGAUGUCAGAUUAGGUAGUUGGUGGGGUAAAGGCUCACCAAGCCAACGAUCUGUAGCUGGUCUGAGAGGACGACCAGCCACACUGGGACUGAGACACGGCCCAGACUCCUACGGGAGGCAGCAGUGGGGAAUUUUGGACAAUGGGCGCAAGCCUGAUCCAGCAAUGCCGCGUGCAGGAAGAAGGCCUUCGGGUUGUAAACUGCUUUUGUACGGAACGAAACGGCUCUGGUUAAUACCCGGGGCUAAUGACGGUACCGUAAGAAUAAGCACCGGCUAACUACGUG